AAAUGAGAAGUAAAUAAUUACAUUUAGUUUCGACCUAAAAAUUGGUUAAUUUGAUAACCCCCAUUUA
This 67-nucleotide transfer RNA is filed under the name Hycleus cichorii. Its description in RNAcentral is "tRNA-Arg". Lineage: Eukaryota; Metazoa; Arthropoda; Insecta; Coleoptera; Meloidae. The record is from RNAcentral.